RNAcentral lists this ribosomal RNA (158 nucleotides) under Xylaria sp. KU416. RNAcentral's name for it is "5.8S rRNA". It matches the Rfam family "5.8S ribosomal RNA". Rfam says of the family: 5.8S ribosomal RNA (5.8S rRNA) is a component of the large subunit of the eukaryotic ribosome. It is transcribed by RNA polymerase I as part of the 45S precursor that also contains 18S and 28S rRNA. Functionally, it is thought that 5.8S rRNA may be involved in ribosome translocation. Lineage: Eukaryota; Fungi; Ascomycota; Sordariomycetes; Xylariales; Xylariaceae. The record is from RNAcentral.
AAACUUUCAACAACGGAUCUCUUGGUUCUGGCAUCGAUGAGGAACGCAGCGAAAUGCGAUAAGUAAUGUGAAUUGCAGAAUUCAGUGAAUCAUCGAAUCUUUGAACGCACAUUGCGCCUAUUAGUAUUCUAGUAGGCAUGCCUGUUCGAGCGUCAUUU